UUUUAUUGAGCGCAAACACACGGAAUAGCAUCGCAUUUGUUGUGCAAAUCACAAUCAGAAAUUAUCGCAGCCGUUUUACUGCCAGUGACUCGCACCAAAACCGCAUACAUACACAACCUCACAACUGAGUUGGUGGUACGUGUUGCAAAUAGCAAAUCAGUGGCUUUUAUUGAGCGCAAAAACACGGAGUAGCAUCGCAUUUGCUGUGUAAAUCACAAUCAGAAAUUAUUGUCAGCCGUUUUAUUGCCAGUGACUCGCAUCAAAACCGUGCACAUACUCAAUUUCACAUCUGAGGUGGCGAUUCGUGACAUACAGACAGCAAAUCAUGAUUUCUAUUAUCGCCGAGCGAUGUGGAGUUUCUGAGCGGUUCGUUCGGUAUUUCUUAUCGCUAUAUGAAGUGGCACAUGAUCAAUUCCAUGAAAUCGAGCUGGUGUCAGAGUGCAUUCUCUUCUUAAAGUAUGCAAUCCAAAAUCGGAAUAAUCAAUCUGGAAUCA
Long non-coding RNA from Sitodiplosis mosellana (orange wheat blossom midge), 494 nucleotides. RefSeq lists it as uncharacterized. Lineage: Eukaryota; Metazoa; Arthropoda; Insecta; Diptera; Cecidomyiidae. The transcript has 3 exons. The record is from RefSeq and is a predicted model, not a curated record.